RNAcentral lists this ribosomal RNA (497 nucleotides) under uncultured bacterium. Its description in RNAcentral is "partial 16S ribosomal RNA". It matches the Rfam family "Bacterial small subunit ribosomal RNA", at positions 28 to 507 of the family's 1533-position model. The record is from RNAcentral.
GAUGAACGCUGGCGGCGUGCCUAAUACGUGCAAGUCGAGCGAACAGACGAGGAGCUUGCUUCUCUGACGUUAGCGGCGGACGGGUGAGUAACACGUGGAUAACCUACCUAUAAGACUGGGAUAACUUCGGGAAACCGGAGCUAAUACCGGAUAAUAUAUUGAACCGCAUGGUUCAAUAGUGAAAGACGGUUUUGCUGUCACUUAUAGAUGGAUCCGCGCCGCAUUAGCUAGUUGGUAAGGUAACGGCUUACCAAGGCAACGAUGCGUAGCCGACCUGAGAGGGUGAUCGGCCACACUGGAACUGAGACACGGUCCAGACUCCUACGGGAGGCAGCAGUAGGGAAUCUUCCGCAAAGGGCGAAAGCCUGACGGAGCAACGCCGCGUGAGUGAUGAAGGUCUUCGGAUCGUAAAACUCUGUUAUUAGGGAAGAACAAAUGUGUAAGUAACUAUGCACGUCUUGACGGUACCUAAUCAGAAAGCCACGGCUAACUACGUG